AGUCUUGGAAUGAAGACUUUAUGCAUCACUAGCUGUGUGCAUGUAUGGUGAGUGACCAAUCUACAACUCAAGGGCAGAUUGUUUUGUCCUUCCCUCCAUUUAGAAACUCUUCACCGGCCUGCUGCCUCCUCAGUUUCUUGCAGUCUAGUCCUGCUUUGUGGGCUUUCAAGACUUACUGAGCAGCAAUAGUGUAACAAUUUCCCAGUUUUUCUUCAAGGGGGAUACUGUUUCCCUUUCUGAGAAGAUAAUCAAUGACCCUCCAAGACUUGAGAGGAGUGACCUGAGUUUAGGAGAUAGUAGAACCCACCUAGAUCAUGGUCGUGCCAGCAAAUCCGUGUGAAUGCCACUGGAUUAAAAGAAGGAAGUUUAGUUGAAUGGUUACUACCCUCAUUCACAGGAGCAGUUAUCGGCACUUCCACUGAGGCAAUGGCAGUGGGAAAAGGAAGGCAAAUAUUUAUUCACCCAUCCAUAAACUCAUAAAAUCUCUAUUCUUUUUUAGGAGUGAGCUGAUGAACUGAACACAAGUUUUGGUGUAAUCAACAAGCUGCCUGGAAUAUGCAUGAACUGCCCUAAUUUUACAGAUGCCUUUACUUCUGAAAGCAUCUUCUGGGAGAGCUUAGCCUUUUCCCUAAGUUUGGAUUUGAAAGCAAGCAGAAUGGAAAUAAGUCCGUGUUGUUCACAUGUGCUUUAGUUUUUGUGCACUUAAAAGUUUUUAAAGAACUUUUUUAAAAAAAAACCUUCUAAUAUAAAUCUUUUGUAAAAGUAA
This is a long non-coding RNA of Homo sapiens (human), 766 nucleotides long. RefSeq annotates it as long independently transcribed non-coding RNA 2855. The record is from RefSeq and is marked validated. NCBI's taxonomy places the organism in Eukaryota, Metazoa, Chordata, Mammalia, Primates, Hominidae. The transcript is spliced from 5 exons.